This 852-nucleotide ribosomal RNA is filed under the name Triticum aestivum (bread wheat). RNAcentral describes it as "partial small subunit ribosomal RNA". Lineage: Eukaryota; Viridiplantae; Streptophyta; Magnoliopsida; Poales; Poaceae. The record is from RNAcentral.
AUGUUUGCUGAUGUGUCAGUUUCAAAAUGCAAGGCACCAAAGAAAAUUGUGUUGGACAAGCUCUUGUGUGGGAUGAAAAGUGAGUACACAAAAGUCUUUGAUUACCAACUAGAACUUCUUAGGAGCAACCAUGGCAGUACAUUGGCUAUUACCUUAGAUCCAAUAGAGAUGGAAUAGAAUAUAUUUCAAAAAUUCUAUGUUUGUUUUGAUGCAAUGAAGCAAGGGUUUAAAGAAGGGUGCAGGAGAGUCAUUGGACUAGAUGGAUGCCUUUUCAAGGGAGCAUGUCAAGGUGAACUAUUGGCUGCCAUUGCUAGGGAUGCUAAUAAUCAGAUGUACCCAGUAGCAUGGGUUGUGGUGGAGAAAGAGACCAAUGAUAGCUGGAAGUGGUUCAUUGCACUCUUAAUCAAAGACUUGGAUAUCAAUGACCAAGGAGAAGGACGGGUCUUCAUUUCUGACCAACAGAAGGGAUUGAUCAAUAGCAUGAGGGACUAUUUGCCUAAGGCUGAGCACAUGAUGUGUGCUAGGCACAUAUAUGCCAACUAGAGGAAGAAACACAAGGACCAUGAAUACCAAAAGAGAUUCUGGGCAGUUGCUAAGGCUGGUAACAGAGAGUAUUUUAACUACAACAAGGCCAAGCUUGCUCAACUUACUCCUGAAGGUGCAAAGGAUAUCAUGAGGACAGAGCCAAAGCAUUGGGCUAGGGCUUUUUUCCCACUUGGAGCAAACUGUGAAUCAGUUGACAAUAACCUUUGUGAGUCAUUUAACAAUGCCAUCAUAGAAUCUAGGUUCUAUCCAAUUAUUACACAACAAGAGAUGAUAAGGAAGAAGAUGCUUGUUAGAGUGCAAGAGUAG